CUUUAAUUAACUCAGUCCUCUUCCUGUACAACACUAUUUGAUAAUUUUAACAACAUUUUGCUUGUGAAUAUGUGUGAUCCAAGCAGGCCUGAAAUUCUUUAGCAACGGUUUUUUCGACCACGUCAUUAAAGCAGCAUAGUUCGGCGGGAAAGGAUGCAUGUAAUCAGCUCCGGGAAUUUACCGAGCUGUUUUAGGCCCCGAAUAUAGUAAAAUGCGUAAAAAUUGGAUGCUUGAAUUCCAAAAUAUGGUCAACCACCAGUCGGAGGAAUCGCGGAGGUGGCAGAGGCUAUGGCCGAUGCAAAUGCCACAGCAAGAUUUUCUUUUCCGACCUAAAGCAUCGCAUGUUGAUAGCUCGAGGGACCUGUGGCUCCGGAAAACAAGUUUCAAGUGAUAAUUGUUUCGGAGAUGAUCACGGCCGGAAGCCAUAGGAAUUUGAUCAUUGCGCGUCUACUGAUCGGGCGCUAUCGACGUGACCAGUGAUGAUAACAAAGGAUAAAAUAAAGAAGUAAAAUAUGUGUUAAUUCAAAUAGUGAUAAUGUGAAGUGAAAAUUAAUGAAAAGUUUUAAAAAUAA
Molecule: long non-coding RNA, 572 nt
Organism: Uranotaenia lowii
Lineage: Eukaryota; Metazoa; Arthropoda; Insecta; Diptera; Culicidae
Exons: 3
Source: RefSeq, a predicted model, not a curated record